RNAcentral lists this unclassified non-coding RNA (335 nucleotides) under fungal sp. RNAcentral describes it as "partial internal transcribed spacer region". The stretch from base 1 to 64 matches the Rfam family "Eukaryotic small subunit ribosomal RNA", at positions 1768 to 1831 of the family's 1831-position model. Lineage: Eukaryota; Fungi. The record is from RNAcentral.
GUCAUUUAGAGGAAGGUGAAGUCGUAACAAGGUUUCCGUAGGUGAACCUGCGGAAGGAUCAUUACCAUAAUACCAAAACCAAAAACACCUUACGAAGAGGAAACGUGAAGUUCGUGUAUACGUCUUUGCGUCAGUACUCUUUGUACGUUUCGUGAUACUUAACAACUAUCAUUAUUCCUUUAUGCUUCCUUAGCGAUGUAAAAGCCUUUGGCUUUUGAAGUCAUUGAAGAUACAACACCAUUAACCAGAGAACUCUGUCGAAAUCUGUCAGUCAUGACAUGAUUAUCAUAUAAUCAAUGACCAAACAGUUUCAGCAACGAAUGUCUAGGUUCCUA